Molecule: unclassified non-coding RNA, 183 nt
Organism: Chelonoidis abingdonii (Abingdon island giant tortoise)
Lineage: Eukaryota; Metazoa; Chordata; Testudines; Testudinidae
Source: Ensembl
UUGAAACAUGUCAUAUACAUGAAGUUAUCUUGUUACCUUCAAAACACUGACAGUACAAUGUAGUGGCAAUGCAGUCUUCCUUAUAUUGUCACACUGAUGUGCCUUAACUGAGUUCUACAUGGACCAUCUCAAUGGGUGAGAGGGUAGUUAAAUCCUGCAUAGCCCAUUCAAUCCUUGGCCGUG